Long non-coding RNA from Gorilla gorilla gorilla (western lowland gorilla), 4126 nucleotides. RefSeq lists it as uncharacterized. The transcript is spliced from 4 exons. Lineage: Eukaryota; Metazoa; Chordata; Mammalia; Primates; Hominidae. The record is from RefSeq and is a predicted model, not a curated record.
AGAAUAGUCAAGGUAGGUAUUAAAAUCAUAAUAAAUAGCAUUUCCAAGUUCCAUCAAGUUCACUACUAUAAUUAGUGACAGAGUACCUUGUAUCAAACCAACUCACUGACCAAGAAAACCUGUAAAAGCUGGAUAGAAAACAACAAAAAUGACAACACAACAUCCAUGGUUGUUGCAAACAUUAGCCAUCAAAAAAGACAGCCCAACUUGAGAGAACAGUAACAACCUGGAGCUUUAAGCAGUCCCACACGGUUAUGGAAACAAAAACUCCAAUUAAGAGCUAUCAAAGCAGGCAAAUCCUGGAGAACAAAGGAGCCACAGAGAAACAUCCACUGAACAUCACUUGAACUCUGUGUGUGGCUCAACUACAGCAAGUCAGCAAGCUGCCUUUCUUCCUGAGAGAAUGAAUGAAGAGGGCUUUUGGGUUGGAGCACUAGUAUCAGUAACAUCAACAAUUGGAAUCCACCCAUUCUAAAGAGCAGCUUUCCAAUUGGAUGUACCUAAGAUGACACGGUUGUUAAAUCAAAGCCGUAAUUAUACCUCAGUGAUCCCGAUUCUAAGACUGGUGCUCUUGCCCUUAUACUUUUGGCUGAGUGACUUAACAGACAUGAUCAUGGCCAAUUAAAUUUUUUAUCAUAAAAUUUUAAGUAUUUCACAUAAGGCAUCAGCCCUUUAUAGGUUACCAUAGUAUGAUAUGUAAUAUAAGUUAUAUAAAAUUAUAUCAUUUUUGACGGUAUGAGUCAUUUACGAUAAUACAUUUAUACACAUUUAUAGAAGUUUUCAUGUGUGCAAAUAGUUUAUUUAAGACAUCUUAGUUUGAGUAAGCUCUACUGUGCCAAGAAGGCUGAGUUUUCCUUGAAAUGUCAAUGCUUUAAAGUCUAAGGAAAAUAUUCCACAGCUCCAUGGCAGCUGUUUUCAGGGAAAAUUAUAGUUAGUAGUUUAUGGUUGCCGUAGCAUCCCAGUUAAUACCAUAGCAAUGAGGUUUAAAUUCUGUCAGAAACAAAAAGUCACUGCAUUUGUAUGGGCAUUUCUACUGUGAAAGUUAAGGCUGAGUCAGAGUUUUCAGCUAGCAAGACUCAGAUUUCCUACCUUUCAAAAGUACUCUCCAGUGGGGUGAGGGGUGUAUCACCUGACCUGCCCACAGGGGCACCUAAGAUAAAUGUGCCAGGCAACAGGGGAGUCGGGGGGAUACCUGUCAUAUGGAAUCCUUGGCAAGUUUCACGCAGGGCCUUCCUGAGUAGCCAAAGGGCUUUAGGGAGAAAUCUGAAAAAAUGAAUUUCUAGUGUAAGUAUCACAAAAAAGAACUAAAUUAAUACACAUUAUCUUUGCAGCAGUUGACUUUCUCAGUACAGGCAAUUACAGAGAAGGCCUACCCCAUACUUUAGCCACACUGCUGUUUCUUCAUGAGGACAUCUGAGCUUCCCCUAAGAACAACCAAAUGUCCACUUCCUCAGAGAAAGAAGUUCAUAGUGCCACUGAGAAAUUUAGCCUCUAAAGAUUUAUCAAACAUAUUCUGUGGAGGCUGUCAAUUCUUGCCAACAGUUAGCAAAGCAGAAAAGCCAACAGCAAUAGGGAUUUAGAGUGCCAUAGAAUUCUAACUUGUCUUGAGGUCAUUAAAGUUUUAGCCUCACUUCUUUUUAGUUAGCUGUUAGUUUCUUUGGAAGAUUGUAUUUUGAAGGAGUAGAGAAUACAUUUUAAUAAACACAGGGUAGUAGACUGGAUGAUAUAUUUAUGUGGAAUGCCUCAGUGGAGUAAGAAAUAUAAACUUAAGAGCUAGAAUGCAGACAUCUUUAGAAUAAAAGUGGGUAAGAGAAUACAGGACAGGAAACAAGUUUUAAAUGACUCAACAACUUAAGCACAGUCUGAAAAACAUUCAGUAAGUAUAUGGUUGUUCAGGGAGGAUAUUAAAAGAUCGAAAGUGUUGAUCUGUGAUUGGGCAAUAUCAGCAUAACUAUAUUGACCACCCUGGAGGUAGAAAUGUUUUCUGAUUGGCCAUCGUGAAUAUGCUUUAACAUGUGUGUGGAUGACAGAUGUGUUUAGAUGAGUCUCAUCAAGAGGGCAAUGUUUUCACUAAUGCACUGGAUUUGUUCCAGCAACAAUGGAGGCACACCCAUGAAUAAAAAGACAGAGGCUUGGGUAGUGAUGUAACUUCAAAAUAAAAGGAAAGGUUGGGUGACAUCAGUUUCUGAAACUUCCAAUUAGAAGGAAUAAGUGCAUCCUUCUGUGCUUUCUAUAAUGCCAUGUGUUGUGAUGUGCUGUUGCUCAGUUAAGUUCAAUAAUACUUUUCCAAGAGUGAUGCAGUGACUAGCUUCAGGAGAAUUUUAAUUCAAAUGCAAUGGCCAAUAUUGUACAGUGUCUCAAGAGAUCAAAUUCCAUUUGGCAGUUUGCAGAUGGAUAAAAACAUGUUGGUCUACUUUAAGACAAAGUAACAUUUUACUAAGUGGCAAAGACUGUAAAUAUUAAUAGCUUAAUAAUAAUAACUAAUAAUAUUUAGAAAGACAAUUUUAAAUUGAUUCACCAAAAGAUAUUUAGGGCUGAAGAACUUAAUUCUGCAUUUGUAUACAUACUUAACUCCAUGAUUUAUGUAUUAAUAAUCAAAAAAUGUAUUUAGCCAGGUCAGUUAGACAGCCAAUAUAAUUUAAAUUUUGCAGCCUUAGAUCACUCUUAAAGUAUAUGUUUAUUAUUUUAUUAUUAAAAUAAUCCCUAAUCCUAUUUCUAUGUUAUCAAUAAGGACAUUCUAUAGCAGAAUUCUAAGCAAAUUCUGAUGGCAGAGAUUUCUCUCUUUCUUCUUUUUUUUUUUUUGAGAUGGAGCUUAUACCUUACACAGAAAAACAGGAAACAAAUUCAAAUUUAAGAAAUAAUAUAAUAAUUUUUAAAAGUUCUGAGAACAACCUCUGCCUCUUGUUUAGCCUAAAGUAUGUCAAUUGGCAAGUGCUUUUUGGAUUACCAAUACAAGUGAAAAAAUGCUAUUCAGCAAGAUGCCGCCCGUGAGUCACACCCUGGUCCUUGGCCACCCCUGUGCAGCCAGCUACAGGACCUUUAUGGAUCACUAGGGGCCUUCACUACACUUCUGGAGAAGCUUAACUCCUCUCCAUGGAAACACAGGAGCUGACUCAACCCCCUCGCUGUGCAUUCAUCCUCCACCCUACUCCCCCAACUAUUUUUUUGCUUGGCUAGUUCCAUACUGAGUAAUCUUUUUCUGUCUUUUGGUUACACUCUUUAAGUCCUGUUCAGAGAGUUAAAUGCAAAUGCUAGACUCCUAAAAAGCCUAUUUUCUGAAGUGAGUAAAAAUUAUGGGCAAAAAUGAACAAUAUGAAGUAACCUUUUCAGUGGGAACCUUGAAAGACAUGUUGAUAUUUUAAAGAGCAAAGUUUGCCUUAUCAAGCCCUGAAUGCCUAAAGGAAAAAAAAAAAAAAUAAGAAAGAAACAAGCUCUAUGUCCUUUCCAAACUUUCACCUUACCUUGACAAAUAGACUCUUGCUGUUACCCUUUUUAUGAGUUUUCUACGGCUGCCAUAGCAAAAUGCUACAGACUGGAUGGUUUAAACAACAGAAGAAUUUUCUCACAAUUUUGGAGGCUGGGAGUCUGAGUUCAAGGGGUUGGCAGGUUUUGUUUCUUCUGAGGCCUCUCUCCUUGGCUCCCAGGCGGUCGCCUUUUUGCUGUGUCCUCACAUGGUCAUCCUCUUUGUUGACUGUGUCCUAAUCUCCUCUUUUUAUAAGGGCACAGUAGUAUUGAGUUAGAACCCACCCUAAAACCACAUUUUAACUUAAGUACCUCUUUUAAGGUUCUAUUUCCAAAUGCAGUUGAUGGCAACAGCUGCUGCCAUUACCCCGGCUGCAGCAGAGAGGAGGGCUGGGGCUGCACACUCUGUGGAGUCAGUGGGAGCCCCACUCCUUCUGAUUUGGGGCAGAAACUUCCCGGGUGCCACUGCAGCCGCCCAAACCUCAAACCUCGGCAGCAGAUCCAGGCCCCCUGCUUCACGUAACAGGCAGGAGCCCCACCCUCCUGCAAUACGUAGCGGGGCUACAUCAGCCAAAACUGCAGCUGUGGAUCCGAGCCUUCCUGUGCUCUUGGAAGGGGCUGGGAACAGGCAGAAUCUGCCCUCCCUGGUGCAGUUGCAGCCACC